Molecule: microRNA precursor, 117 nt
Filed under: Sorghum bicolor (sorghum)
Lineage: Eukaryota; Viridiplantae; Streptophyta; Magnoliopsida; Poales; Poaceae
Description: MIR5565 microRNA precursor family
Rfam family: MIR5565 microRNA precursor family
Source: Rfam by way of RNAcentral
GUUGUCGGAUUUACUUCAAUCCAUGUGUGUUGGUGUGGGUUGGUAUGAAAUUUAGUUCAAGUUCCACACCAAUCCACCUCAAGUCCUUAAUACAUGUGGAUUGAUGUGAAUUCGACU